ACGGAAGGCAGCAGUGAGGAAUAUUGGUCAAUGGGCGGAAGCCUGAACCAGCCAAGUCGCGUGAAGGAUGAAGGUAUUAUGUAUUGUAAACUUCUUUAGCAGUGGAGUAAUAAGGGAGUCGUGACUCCUGAUGCAAGUACACUGAAAAUAAGGAUCGGCUAACUCCGUGCCAGCAGCCGCGGUAAUACGGAGGAUCCGAGCGUUAUCCGGAUUUAUUGGGUUUAAAGGGUGCGCAGGCGGCCUUGUAAGUCAGCGGUUAAAUCGUGGAGCUCACCUCCAUCCCGCCGUUGAUACUGCAGGGCUUGAUUGCGGUCGAGGUUGGCGGAAUUCGUCGUGUAGCGGUGAAAUGCAUAGAUAUGACGAAGAACACCGAUUGCGUAGGCAGCUGACCAGGCCGUAAAUGACGCUCAUGCACGAAAGUGCGGGGAUCGAACAGGAUUAGAUACCCUGGUA
This 453-nucleotide ribosomal RNA is filed under the name uncultured bacterium. Its description in RNAcentral is "partial 16S ribosomal RNA". It matches the Rfam family "Bacterial small subunit ribosomal RNA", at positions 341 to 792 of the family's 1533-position model. The record is from RNAcentral.